AUGGUGCAUUUAUUAAAGCACGAUAGCAAACGCUCUUGUUUCCUGCGCCUUACUCCACACCCACUACAUCAAGCGUUACACUUAUUUAAGGCCUUCAUCCGCCUUUACCUCGCCCACCACAAGGAGGAGCGCAUCGACGUGCUGCAGCUGGCCCAAGAACCCUUCCUCAUGCCCCCCUUCCGCAAGGCCCUGGCCACCGGUCCUGGGCCGUUGGCAUCGGGCUCCACGCCCUCCACCUCCAGCGCAUACACAGCAGUGCCUCGAACUGAGGCGCCCAACACCAUCCCAGAGGGACCCUGUGGGGGCCACAUUACUCAAACGCCCUCCCUUCUAGAUAGGGGGAUGGGGGAAGGAGGAUGGAGGGGGUAAAAACAGACUAAAGGAUGGAGGAGGAAUAUCUGAAGUGCCCUCCCUAUCCUCACCCCUCCUAAGACAUGAAGGGGCAGUGCCAGUCUAUGGCUUGUCUGUAAGACCCAAUGGCUGUACAUGUACACACCCCUGCCACAAUGAAGAGAAAGACCUUGCUUGGCCUGUCCAGUGGGCUGCAUCACAGGGUCAUAGGAAAACGGACUGAAGUCACAGUAUGUUGUGUGUGUGCAUACCUGUUUUCAGGAAAACCAAACAGCUCAAAUCAAAUUGUAUUUGUCACAUAUAUGUGUUUAGCAGAUGUUAUUGCGGGUGUAGUGAAAUGCUUGUAAGCUAGAAGCAUUGCAGCCCUAUCUGUCGGCACCAUUUUCUUACGUAUCCAUUCCAUUUGAUAUUUUGAGAGAAAGGCUUUUUUAUAAAUUAUUGCUUGAGUUGUAUCAUAAGUUGAACUCUAUAUAUUUCCCAAUAAUAGAAUCAAUUGCCCCCCUCCCUCUUUUUGAAGGGCACAAAUGAAGGGGGAGUUUCUAUUUUUGAUGACCAAAGUUGAAGGCAUGCCUGGCUGAUACAACAAUGUUACGUUUUACACACGUCUAACUGUCAAGUGAAAGAAAGAAAUAAUUUUCACUAGGAUCAUCACUUUUAACUGAUUUGAUCAGAUUUAAAUAUUUUCUUGGAUAUUGGACUGGGAGUUUACUUUGUUAUUUGGAUGGUUGUCCAUCUUUUUUUCAUGAGGCUUUCCCCCAAAAUGGAGAGGGAGAGACUUAAUAGAAAUGCAUAUAAACCAUUUAACCGACUUUUGGUAUAACUUUGUGGUUCGUUAGCAAGGAGUUACGUCAAAGAUAA
This 1209-nucleotide long non-coding RNA is filed under the name Salmo trutta (river trout). RNAcentral's name for it is "lncRNA (ENSSTUG00000018592.1)". Lineage: Eukaryota; Metazoa; Chordata; Actinopteri; Salmoniformes; Salmonidae. The record is from RNAcentral.